GCCGACUUAGCUCAGCUGGUAGAGCAUCGCAUUCGUAAUGCGGGGGUCACGUGUUCAAGUCACGUAGUCGGCA
Molecule: transfer RNA, 73 nt
Filed under: Aestuariispira insulae
Lineage: Bacteria; Pseudomonadati; Pseudomonadota; Alphaproteobacteria; Rhodospirillales; Aestuariispiraceae
Rfam family: tRNA
About the family: Transfer RNA (tRNA) molecules are approximately 80 nucleotides in length.
Source: Rfam by way of RNAcentral